GCGGAUGUGGUGGAAUUGGCAGACGCGCUAGCUUCAGGUGCUAGUGAUCGCAAGAUCGUGCGGGUUCAAGUCCCGCCAUCCGCACCA
This 87-nucleotide transfer RNA is filed under the name Ruminococcaceae bacterium YRB3002. Its description in RNAcentral is "tRNA_Leu_CAG". It matches the Rfam family "tRNA". Rfam says of the family: Transfer RNA (tRNA) molecules are approximately 80 nucleotides in length. Their secondary structure includes four short double-helical elements and three loops (D, anti-codon, and T loops). Lineage: Bacteria; Bacillati; Bacillota; Clostridia; Eubacteriales; Oscillospiraceae. RNAcentral also lists the same sequence under 1 other name. The record is from RNAcentral.